ACCAAAACAUCGAACCCCUCGCAUGUAGUCCAAAUACAAAUUGAGAAUCAAAAUUACAUCAAAAACUCCUAAAACAGACUCUAUGACUUAGACGCAACUAGGAGUCUUGAAGUCUUGAUUUCCUGCAAAACAAUUCAUUCAAAGAUGAUUAGCACUAAAUUCUUAUACCUUCUCCCCCUUUGUUCAUAUCUCCACCUUUGUUUUUGAACUCAUCAUCCUCUGCUUUAGUUCAAUGCCUGUUCAUGCAUGCUCUGCCCCUUCAUCUACGCUCUCCCCCUUCAUCCAUCUACGCUCUCCCCCUUCAUCUACGCUCUUCCCCUUUUUGUCAAAAAUUGCCAAAA
Molecule: long non-coding RNA, 341 nt
Filed under: Ananas comosus (pineapple)
Lineage: Eukaryota; Viridiplantae; Streptophyta; Magnoliopsida; Poales; Bromeliaceae
Description: long non-coding RNA (ACOM_LNC027881)
Source: RNAcentral